RNAcentral lists this ribosomal RNA (400 nucleotides) under uncultured bacterium. Its description in RNAcentral is "bacterial SSU rRNA". It matches the Rfam family "Bacterial small subunit ribosomal RNA", at positions 355 to 752 of the family's 1533-position model. The record is from RNAcentral.
UGAGGAAUAUUGGUCAAUGGGCGAGAGCCUGAACCAGCCAAGUCGCGUGCAGGACGACGGCCCUACGGGUUGUAAACUGCUUUUGUAAGGGAAUAAAAGAGGUCACGUGUGGUCUAUUGUAGGUACCUUACGAAUAAGGAUCGGCUAACUCCGUGCCAGCAGCCGCGGUAAUACGGAGGAUCCGAGCGUUAUCCGGAUUUAUUGGGUUUAAAGGGUGCGUAGGCGGGAGAAUAAGUCAGUGGUGAAAGUUUGCAGCUCAACUGUAAAAUUGCCAUUGAAACUGUUUUUCUUGAGUACAAAUGAGGUAGGCGGAAUGUGUUGUGUAGCGGUGAAAUGCAUAGAUAUAACACAGAACACCAAUUGCGAAGGCAGCUUACUGGGAUGUAACUGACGCUGAGGC